This 1482-nucleotide ribosomal RNA is filed under the name metagenome. Its description in RNAcentral is "bacterial LSU rRNA". It matches the Rfam family "Bacterial large subunit ribosomal RNA", at positions 544 to 2118 of the family's 2925-position model. The record is from RNAcentral.
UAGAACCUGAAACCUUGUGUUUACAAGCACCGAAAGCUCAUCAAAGAGCGAUCGGGUACCUUUUGUAGAAUGGUCCGGCGAGUGAAUGUAACCGGCGAGGUUAAGCACUUAAGGUGUGAAGCCGCAGCGAGAGCAAGUCUGAAAAGGGCGUAUGAAGUCGGUUGUAUUCGACCCGAAACCGGGUGACCUACCCAUGGUCAGGUUGAAAUAAAGGUAAAACUUUAUGGAGGACCGAACCGACUCCCGUUGAAAUGGUAGCGGAUGAACUGUGGGUAGCGGAGAAAUUCCAAUCGAACCCGGAGAUAGCUGGUUCUCUCCGAAAUAGCUUUAGGGCUAGCCUUGAAAUAGAUUACCGGAGGUAAAGCACUGAAUUGGCUAGGGGCCGAGAGGUUACUGAACCUUAUCAAACUAAGAAUGCCGGAUAACCGUUUUUCAGGAGUCAGACAGUGGGAGAUAAGUUUCAUUGUCAAAAGGGAAACAGCCCAGACCCACAGCUAAGGUCCCAAGUAUAGUUAAGUGGAAAAGGAUGUGGAAUUGCACAGACAACCAGGAUGUUGGCUUAGAAGCAGCCACUCAUUAAAAGAGUGCGUAAUAGCUCACUGGUCGAGUGACUCUGCGCCGAAAAUUUAACGGGGCUAAACUAUACACCGAAGCUUGGGAUACAUCUAAUGUAUGGUAGGAGAGCGUUCUGUAUGGGGAGAAGUCGUAGCGAAAGCGGCGGUGGACUAUACAGAAGUGAGAAUGCCGGAAUAAGUAGCGAGAAUUAAGUGAGAAUCUUAAUGGCCGAAAGUCUAAGGUUUUUGGAGGAAGGUUCGUCCGCUCCAAGUAAGUCGGGAGCUAAGGUCAGGCCGAAAGGCGUAGCCGAUGCACAUACGGUUGAUAUUCCGUAACCAUCUGUAAUUUAAGCAAAGGGACACUUCAAAAGGGUGUGACCCGGGCGUUGGUUGACCCGGGCGUAAGGGACCGAAAUUAGAGUAGGGAAGCACACUUAGCUGAAGGCGAGGAAAGCUUUGCGUAUAGAAGCAGAUGCCCGUACCGCAAACCGACACAGGUGGACAGGAAGAGAAUUCUAAGGCCAGCGGGAGAAGGGUAGUUAAGGAACUCGGCAAAUUGUCUCCGUAACUUCGGAAUAAGGAGUGCUCGAAAGAGCCGCAGAGAAUAGGCCCAGGCGACUGUUUAGCAAAAACACAGGUCUCUGCCAAAUCGAAAGAUGAAGUAUAGGGGCUGACACCUGCCCGGUGCCGGAAGGUUAUGAGGAGGAGUGAGAGCUCCGAAUUGAAGCCCCGGUAAACGGCGGCCGUAACAAUAACGGUCCUAAGGUAGCGAAAUUCCUUGUCGGGUAAGUUCCGACCCGCACGAAUGGUGUAACGAUCUGGGCACUGUCUCAACUACCCACCCGGCGAAAUUGUAGUACCGGUGGAGAUGCCGGUUACCUGCGGCAAGACGGAAAGACCCCAUGGAGCUUUACUGUAGCCUGAUAUU